UUGUAUAUUAGUCGUACUAGAUAAACCUGCUGUUGCUGUGAAUAUUCUGUUUUUUUGUUGUACACAUUAUUUGAGUACAUGUGAGCUCAAGUUAAUUGUUAUUGUGACCACAAUAAUAUACUGUACUGCUUCUAAAUUGAACAUUCAUACUGUAUAUCUAAAUAUGAUGAAUGUUGUCCUAAUUGAAUUCUACAACACUAAAAUGCUUUAGUUUCUUUUUGAGUUUGUCCAAAUACAUCUAAGUUCAUGUUAUAUCAAUAGUGUUUUAAUUGGUGGCAAUGCAAGACAACUUUAUCUCUAUUUUCAUCCUUUUUCACAGUGGACAAGUUAAAAUCCAUGACUUCUCCAGGGUUCUGAGGUUGAAGGCUUGCAACCUUUCUAAAACGUGGAUUGGAAUUGGGCCCUCACAAAAUGAUGGUGGGAACUGCUAUUAGUGGGGAUCGCAUGAUGGAUUACAUAAACCUAGAUGACAGAUCAAUUGGUAUGUUCUGGGUUGUGUCUUACACCAUGGCACAACCUGCUUGUGAAACAGUGAUGAAUUGGUUGACCUCUACUGGAGUUCAAGAGUUGUUACCUGGAUCAAACUUAUAGUCAACUAAGAGGCUAAUGGUGAUGCGGGAAGUUAGCCCAUUGCCAAUUUCGUUGUUAUCAGGCUUUUCAAUCAACUUGUGUCUGAAACUAGCUUAUCAAAUAGAAGAAUCUAUGUUUUUAGGACAAGUGCUAGAUAUCUUCUAGUUUAUUAUCUUGCUUGUGGUUGACUUAGUAUCUGGUGAUAAGAACUUAUAUUAUAUUUAUUUCUAUAUAAAUCUGUAGAUUGUGUAUGUGGAUAAACAAAGUGUUUAUGUUUUGCAAAUUCACAUGCAUCCCAGACAAAAUUGUUCCUAUGGCAAUGUUUAACUGAGUUAGGAAAUAGCUUCUCUAAAACACCAAAGGAAAGGUAGCCCAAACGCCGAUGCCACUGGUGUAAUUGACGUAAUGUUGAACUAGUUUCUGAACAAAAUAGAGUCACUGAACGUAAGAAUCAUUAUCUUCUUGAGUUAGCUCGAUUUUUCUUGUUUACCCUGAAUAUCCCUAAAUCCUUUUGGAGUGAGACAUUUCUUACUUUUUCCUAUCUUAUUAAUCAUAUGCAUCUAGUACUGGUUAGGUAAAUGUCAGUCCAAGAAUUGACAAACAAAAAGCUCUUUAUAAUAUCUUCCUAGCAUAAGUAUUUUUGUUAAAUGUUUUAUCAAGCUCCCUCGAUGGCACAUAUAAGGUUACUUAAUUAUGUUAAAUGUUUCAUAAUAAUAUCUUCCUAGCAAGAGUAUUUUUGUUUCUCGAAAUGACUUAUUUUCGUAUUGUAGGUAUGGGACCUUGUUACUGGAAGACUUUUACAAACUCGAGCUUUUCCACUACCAAUUACUGCAAUAGUUGUUGAUCCAACAGACAAGAAGUUAUUUU
Molecule: non-coding RNA, 1437 nt
Organism: Camellia sinensis
Lineage: Eukaryota; Viridiplantae; Streptophyta; Magnoliopsida; Ericales; Theaceae
Source: RefSeq, a predicted model, not a curated record